AACGUAGGACGCAAGCGUUAUCCGGAGUUACUGGGCGUAAAGGGCGUGUAGGCGGCGCUUCAAGUUCGUCGUGAAAUUCUCCGGCUCAACCGGGGGAGGUCGAGGGAGACUGAGGCGCUGGAGGACGGUAGAGGGACAGGGAAUUCCGGGUGUAGUGGUGAAAUGCGUAGAGAUCCGGAGGAACACCAGUGGCGAAGGCGCUGUCCUGGGCCGCACCUGACGCUGAGACGCGACAGCAUGGGGAGCGAACGGG
RNAcentral lists this ribosomal RNA (253 nucleotides) under Gammaproteobacteria bacterium. Its description in RNAcentral is "partial 16S ribosomal RNA". It matches the Rfam family "Bacterial small subunit ribosomal RNA", at positions 524 to 776 of the family's 1533-position model. RNAcentral also lists the same sequence under 1 other name. The record is from RNAcentral. Lineage: Bacteria; Pseudomonadati; Pseudomonadota; Gammaproteobacteria.